This 253-nucleotide ribosomal RNA is filed under the name uncultured bacterium. RNAcentral's name for it is "partial 16S ribosomal RNA". It matches the Rfam family "Bacterial small subunit ribosomal RNA", at positions 524 to 776 of the family's 1533-position model. The record is from RNAcentral.
UACAGAGGGUGCGAGCGUUGUCCGGAAUCACUGGGCGUAAAGGGCGCGUAGGCGGCUUGAUAAGCGUGCGGUGAAAGCCCGGGGCUCAACCCCGGGUCGGCCGUGCGAACUGUCGAGCUGGAGCACUGUAGAGGCAGGUGGAAUUCCGGGUGUAGCGGUGGAAUGCGUAGAGAUCCGGAAGAACACCGGUGGCGAAGGCGGCCUGCUGGGCAGUGGCUGACGCUGAGGCGCGACAGCGUGGGGAGCAAAUAGG